GGGGCUAUAGCUCAGUUGGUUAGAGCGUUACGUUGACAUCGUAAAGGUCUCUGGUUCGAAUCCGGAUAGCCCCACCA
RNAcentral lists this transfer RNA (77 nucleotides) under Dialister pneumosintes. Its description in RNAcentral is "tRNA-Val(gac)". It matches the Rfam family "tRNA". Rfam says of the family: Transfer RNA (tRNA) molecules are approximately 80 nucleotides in length. Their secondary structure includes four short double-helical elements and three loops (D, anti-codon, and T loops). Lineage: Bacteria; Bacillati; Bacillota; Negativicutes; Veillonellales; Veillonellaceae. The record is from RNAcentral. RNAcentral also lists the same sequence under 2 other names.